This 85-nucleotide transfer RNA is filed under the name Candidatus Aenigmatarchaeota archaeon. RNAcentral describes it as "tRNA-Ser". It matches the Rfam family "tRNA". From Rfam's summary of the family: Transfer RNA (tRNA) molecules are approximately 80 nucleotides in length. The record is from RNAcentral. Lineage: Archaea; Nanobdellati; Candidatus Aenigmatarchaeota.
GCCGGCGUCGCAUAACUUGGCAUUGCGCCAGCCUUGAGAGCUGGUGAGUCCCUGACUCUUGCAGGUUCAAAUCCUGCCGCCGGCG